GUGGUAUAUCUUUAUAAAUGGCUUGAAUCUGUGACUUAGGGAAUGGGCACUCUACAAUAUCACAGUAAUCAAAAGUGAAUGUAGCCACAUGGGUACAUGAUGAAUUAUACCAGAAGGUGUACCCACUAGCAUCUUUGGUGAUGGCCACCUGCUGGGCUUUAAGGAGGCCAACUAAGGAGAUAAUGUACCAGAGGCACAUGGUUGCAUAGGGUUAGCUUCCUCUGGGGCAGGUGUCUUCUUGCAAUGGGAAGCGUGGAUCCAGUUAGGCCUUCCGGCCAAUUUGACAGAGGUAGGGGAGAUC
This is a non-coding RNA of Pelobates cultripes (western spadefoot toad), 301 nucleotides long. The record is from the annotation of a GenBank genome assembly. NCBI's taxonomy places the organism in Eukaryota, Metazoa, Chordata, Amphibia, Anura, Pelobatidae.